RNAcentral lists this long non-coding RNA (456 nucleotides) under Pan troglodytes (chimpanzee). RNAcentral's name for it is "long non-coding RNA NONPTRT010800". Lineage: Eukaryota; Metazoa; Chordata; Mammalia; Primates; Hominidae. The record is from RNAcentral.
AAACGGUUGUCUGCCCUAUCAUUGAUGUGAUUAGUGAUGAUACUUUUGAAUAUAUGGCUGGGUCAGACAUGACUUAUGGGGGUUUUAACUGGAAACUGAAUUUCCGCUGGUAUCCUGUUCCCCAAAGAGAAAUGGACAGGAGGAAAGGAGACAGAACAUUACCUGUCAGGACCCCUACUAUGGCUGGUGGCCUAUUUUCUAUUGACAGAAACUACUUUGAAGAGAUAGGAACUUACGAUGCAGGAAUGGAUAUCUGGGGUGGAGAGAAUCUUGAAAUGUCUUUUAGGGUAAUUGCAUUUUAUUUUAUUUUUUGACGCUGAACAUACAAUGCUGUAGCAUGCACAUACCAGACCCAGUAAUUUACUGUCAAAUCAUUUUUGCUGAGUGAUGCAAAUUACUGAUCAAUUGGUCAUCUUAAUUCACAUUUAGAUUUGACAGAGCCCUAUUGCAUGCAAU